AAAAACUCAGAUGAAACAAACUGGUUUAAAGUCUCUAAAGCCACAAAAGAAGUGGAUCAAAUGAAAACAAAAUGGAUUCUCCAAAAAAUGUGUUUCUUUUCCUCCUAAGUGGCGAAAACUAAAGGGAAAAAAAAUCCACACACAAAAAUUAAAUCUAAAUUCAACAGCCAGGACAGUUUACAAAUCACUUCUGUAGCCCUGAAGCAGGAUGAAAGGAAAUAAACACACUUCAUGGCAAGUUUUCUGAUAUGCCAGCAAGAUUUGCACUUCAAACUUCAAAGGCAGUCCUGAUAAACCCAACAAAGUGUGGUUCAGCAGAUUAAAACAUAUCCUGCCUCUUCCCACCAGAACUUGCUGUUGCUCUGCUGAACAGAGCAUCUGUGCAUCAGAAACAGCAAAUUGAAAGAACAACGGUAUUUAUUUAAAAUACGCCUGCAGAUGGG
This 443-nucleotide long non-coding RNA is filed under the name Coturnix japonica (Japanese quail). RNAcentral's name for it is "lncRNA (ENSCJPG00005017940.1)". The record is from RNAcentral. Lineage: Eukaryota; Metazoa; Chordata; Aves; Galliformes; Phasianidae.